GGGGGUUUAGCUCAGUGGUAGAGCGCUUGCCUAGCAAGUACAAGGCCCUGGGUUCGGUCCCCAGCCCUG
RNAcentral lists this transfer RNA (69 nucleotides) under Rattus norvegicus (Norway rat). It matches the Rfam family "tRNA". From Rfam's summary of the family: Transfer RNA (tRNA) molecules are approximately 80 nucleotides in length. The record is from Rfam by way of RNAcentral. Lineage: Eukaryota; Metazoa; Chordata; Mammalia; Rodentia; Muridae.